This 624-nucleotide ribosomal RNA is filed under the name uncultured bacterium. RNAcentral's name for it is "bacterial SSU rRNA". The stretch from base 1 to 537 matches the Rfam family "Bacterial small subunit ribosomal RNA", at positions 338 to 873 of the family's 1533-position model. The record is from RNAcentral.
CCUACGGGAGGCAGCAGUAAGGAAUAUUGGUCAAUGGAGGCAACUCUGAACCAGCCAUGCCGCGUGCAGGAAGAAGGCCCUAUGGGUCGUAAACUGCUUUUGUACCAGAGAAAACCACAGUACGUGUACUGUGUUGAUAGUAUGGUAAGAAUAAGCAUCGGCUAACUUCGUGCCAGCAGCCGCGGUAAGACGAAGGAUGCAAGCGUUAUCCGGAUUCAUUGGGUUUAAAGGGUGCGUAGGCGGACUGAUAAGUCAGUGGUGAAAUCUCUCAGCUUAACUGAGAAACUGCCAUUGAUACUGUUAGUCUAGAGUAUAGAUGACGUUGGCGGAAUAUGACAUGUAGUGGUGAAAUACUUAGAUAUGUCAUAGAACACCGAUUGCGAAGGCAGCUAACGAAACUAUAACUGACGCUGAGGCACGAAAGUGCGGGGAUCAAACAGGAUUAGAUACCCUGGUAGUCCGCACCGUAAACGAUGAUUACUCGUUGUUGGCAAAUUAUGACCGUCAGCGACCAAGCGAAGCGANAAGUAAUCCACCGACGGUAGGUACGCCGGCCGACGGUACGAACGUACGAAGAAGUAGUAGACGCGAGAGAGCGACGGACGACGACGACGGAGGGAGGAG